CCUACGGGAGGCUGCAGUGGGGAAUAUUGGGCAAUGGAGGCAACUCUGACCCAGUAACGCCGCGUGAAUGAUGAAGGUCUUCGGAUUGUAAAGUUCUGUGAUGGGGGAUGAACACAAUGACGGUACCCCAAUAGCAAGCCACGGUUAACUAGGUGCCAGCAGCCGCGGUAAUACGUAGGUGGCAAGCGUUAUCCGGAAUGACUGGGCGUAAAGGGUGCGUAGGUGGGUGAGGAAGUUGGCGGUGUAAUGCCGUGGCUCAACCACGGCGCUACCUGCAAAACUAUUAGACUAGAGUGCAGGAGGGGUAAGUGGAAUUCCUAGUGUAGCGGUGGAAUGCGUAGAUAUUAGGAGGAACACCAGGGGCGAAGGCGACUUACUGGACUGUAACUGACGCUGAGGCACGAAAGCGUGGGGAGCAAACAGGAUUAGAUACCCCAGUAGUC
This 443-nucleotide ribosomal RNA is filed under the name uncultured bacterium. RNAcentral's name for it is "partial 16S ribosomal RNA". It matches the Rfam family "Bacterial small subunit ribosomal RNA", at positions 338 to 795 of the family's 1533-position model. The record is from RNAcentral.